UGGGGAAUUUUGGACAAUGGGCGAAAGCCUGAUCCAGCAAUGCCGCGUGUGUGAAGAAGGCCUUCGGGUUGUAAAGCACUUUUGUCCGGAAAGAAAUCCUUGGCUCUAAUACAGUCGGGGGAUGACGGUACCGGAAGAAUAAGCACCGGCUAACUACGUGCCAGCAGCCGCGGUAAUACGUAGGGUGCAAGCGUUAAUCGGAAUUACUGGGCGUAAAGCGUGCGCAGGCGGUUUGCUAAGACCGAUGUGAAAUCCCCGGGCUCAACCUGGGAACUGCAUUGGUGACUGGCAGGCUAGAGUAUGGCAGAGGGGGGUAGAAUUCCACGUGUAGCAGUGAAAUGCGUAGAGAUGUGGAGGAAUACCGAUGGCGAAGGCAGCCCCCUGGGCCAAUACUGACGCUCAUGCACGAAAGCGUGGGGAGCAAACAGGAUUAGAUACCCUGGUAGUCCACGCCCUAAACGAUGUCAACUAGUUGUUGGGGAUUCAUUUCCUUAAUAACGUAGCUAACGCGUGAAGUUGACCGCCUGGGGAGUACGGUCGCAAGAUUAAAACUCAAAGGAAUUGACGGGGUCAUAGCUGUUU
This 582-nucleotide ribosomal RNA is filed under the name uncultured bacterium. Its description in RNAcentral is "partial 16S ribosomal RNA". It matches the Rfam family "Bacterial small subunit ribosomal RNA", at positions 355 to 935 of the family's 1533-position model. The record is from RNAcentral.